RNAcentral lists this ribosomal RNA (498 nucleotides) under uncultured bacterium. Its description in RNAcentral is "bacterial SSU rRNA". It matches the Rfam family "Bacterial small subunit ribosomal RNA", at positions 9 to 521 of the family's 1533-position model. The record is from RNAcentral.
GAGUUUGAUCAUGGCUCAGGAUGAACGCUGGCGGCGUGCUUAACACAUGCAAGUCGAGCGAUGAAGUUUCCUUCGGGAAACGGAUUAGCGGCGGACGGGUGAGUAACACGUAGAUAAUUUGUCCUAUAUUGGGGGAUAGGCCGAUGAAAAUUGGAUUAAUACCGCAUACAGCUAUUUAACCGCAUGGGGAGAUAGUGAAAGGGGAAACUUGAUAUAGGAGGAGUCUGCGGCACAUUAGCUAGUAGGUGAGGUAAGAGCUUACCUAGGCGACGAUGUGUAGCCGGUCUGAGAGGAUGAACGGCCACAAUGGAACUGAGACACGGUCCAUACUCCUACGGGAGGCAGCAGUGGGGAAUAUUGCACAAUGGGGGAAACCCUGAUGCAGCAACGCCGCGUGAGUGAAGAAGGUUUUCGGAUUGUAAAGCUCUGUUAGCAGGGAAGAGGAAGGACGGUACCUGCAGAGGAAGCCACGGCUAACUACGUGCCAGCCGCCGCCGU